This 603-nucleotide long non-coding RNA is filed under the name Homo sapiens (human). RNAcentral's name for it is "non-protein coding lnc-ZNF101-3:1". The record is from RNAcentral. Lineage: Eukaryota; Metazoa; Chordata; Mammalia; Primates; Hominidae.
GUAGAAAUGUACAGAAUAUGGGGAAACUCUCAUUGCUCUCAUCUCCAUUCAAAGACACGUGUCAGUGCACACUGGAGAUGGAUGGUAUGAAUCGAAGAAUACACACUGGAUGGAAACGUUAGUAGUUUGGAAAAUACAGGAAACUUCCAUUUUAACAAUAAUUAAAAUUCACAUGGGAGUGAGCCACUGCGACCGGCCCAUGAGUCUUUAUUAAUAGAGAUUUCUUACUGGUGUUAUGUGGCAGAUUCUGCAUAUUCCUCACCCAUCAUAUGUAUUCCACUUUCCUUUAUUAUGGGGAAAACUACUCUUUUUGGCAUGAUACAAUGUUGACUCCAUUUUCUUUGCUAAUAAGGACUUGGUAUCAAUUUAUCAGUAUGUAAAGUUUACCAUAGAGUAUUGUCUCAUGUGAAUCAUUCCCAUUUUUUGCUCUUUACUCUUUGUCGUUAUUUCUGAGUAUUAUUUGGAUGGUUCAUUUUGACUUAAGGAUAGCCCUGUGAUAUGACAAUAUUUUUAUCUAAUCUGAUGGAGAAAGCAUUUAGUCUCCUGAUCAAGUAUGAUGUUAGCUGCAGGUUUUUAAUAAAUGCCUUAAUUCAGUUUGAAGAA